This 70-nucleotide transfer RNA is filed under the name Dipodomys ordii (Ord's kangaroo rat). It matches the Rfam family "tRNA". From Rfam's summary of the family: Transfer RNA (tRNA) molecules are approximately 80 nucleotides in length. Their secondary structure includes four short double-helical elements and three loops (D, anti-codon, and T loops). The record is from Rfam by way of RNAcentral. Lineage: Eukaryota; Metazoa; Chordata; Mammalia; Rodentia; Heteromyidae.
GGGAAUGUGGCUUAGUGGUAGAGUGCUUGCCUAGUAUGCAUGAUGCCCUGGGUUCAAUUCCUCAGCACCA